ACUCAAAGGAAUAGACGGGGGCUCACACAAGCGGUGGAGCAUGUGGCUUAAUUCGAGGCUACGCGAAGAACCUUAUCCUGGGCUUGACAUGUUCGAAAGAGGUAGGUGUUGUAGCUUCCGGAAACGGCAAGCGAACCCGCAAGGGGGACCUACUACAGGUGCUGCAUGGCUGUCGUCAGCUCGUGUCGUGAGAUGUCGGGUUAAGUCCCAUAACGAGCGAAACCCUUGUCCUUAGUUGCUACUCGAAAGAGGCACUCUAAGGAGACUGCCGGUGUUAAACCGGAGGAAGGUGGGGAUGACGUCAAGUCCUCAUGGCCUUUAUGCCCAGGGCUGCACACGUGCUACAAUGCAACGAACAAAGGGACGCAAACCCGCGAGGGGGAGCAAAUCCCAAAAAACGUUGCCCAGUUCAGAUCGAAGGCUGCAACUCGCCUUCGUGAAGUUGGAAUCGCUAGUAAUCGCAGGUCAGCAACACUGCGGUGAAUGUGUUCCUGAGCCUUGCACACACCGCCCGU
This 515-nucleotide ribosomal RNA is filed under the name uncultured bacterium. RNAcentral describes it as "partial 16S ribosomal RNA". It matches the Rfam family "Bacterial small subunit ribosomal RNA", at positions 899 to 1397 of the family's 1533-position model. The record is from RNAcentral.